This 253-nucleotide ribosomal RNA is filed under the name uncultured bacterium. RNAcentral's name for it is "partial 16S ribosomal RNA". It matches the Rfam family "Bacterial small subunit ribosomal RNA", at positions 524 to 776 of the family's 1533-position model. The record is from RNAcentral.
UACGGAGGGUGCAAGCGUAAUACGGAAUCACUGGGUUUAAAGGGUGCGUAGGCGGCUUGAUAAGUCAGGGGUGAAAGCCCGCAGCUUAACUGCGGAACUGCCUUUGAUACUGUCGAGCUUGAAAGAGGUUGAGGUCAGCGGAACGUGACAUGUAGCGGUGAAAUGCAUAGAUAUGUCACAGAACACCGAUUGCGAAGGCAGCUGGCUGGACCUACUUUGACGCUGAGGAACGAAAGCGUGGGGAGCGAACAGG